UAUGCCAGGCUAGCUGAUCCAUGAACUCC
This 29-nucleotide non-coding RNA is filed under the name Mus musculus (house mouse). Lineage: Eukaryota; Metazoa; Chordata; Mammalia; Rodentia; Muridae. The record is from RNAcentral.